CCUACGGGAGGCAGCAGUGAGGAAUAUUGGUCAAUGGACGAGAGUCUGAACCAGCCAAGCAGCGUGAAGGAUGAAUGUCCUAUGGGUUGUAAACUUCUUUUAUAAAGGAAUAAAACGAGGCACGUGUGCCUUUUUGCAUGUACUUUAUGAAUAAGGAUCGGCUAACUCCGUGCCAGCAGCCGCGGUAAUACGGAGGAUCCGAGCGUUAUCCGGAUUUAUUGGGUUUAAAGGGAGCGUAGAUGGGAUGUUAAGUCAGGUGUGAACGUUUGCGGCUCAACCGUACACUUGCAAUUGAUACUGGCAGUCUCGAGUACAGUAGAGGUAGGCGGAAUUCGUGGUGUAGCGGUGAAAUGCUUAGAUAUCACGAAGAACCCCGAUUGCGAAGGCAGCUUACUGAACUAUGACUGACGCUGAGGCGCGAAAGUGUGGGUAUCAAACAGGAUUAGAUACCCGUGUAGUC
Molecule: ribosomal RNA, 460 nt
Filed under: uncultured bacterium
Lineage: Bacteria
Description: partial 16S ribosomal RNA
Rfam family: Bacterial small subunit ribosomal RNA
Source: RNAcentral